RNAcentral lists this transfer RNA (64 nucleotides) under Euplotes focardii. It matches the Rfam family "tRNA", at positions 5 to 66 of the family's 71-position model. Rfam says of the family: Transfer RNA (tRNA) molecules are approximately 80 nucleotides in length. Their secondary structure includes four short double-helical elements and three loops (D, anti-codon, and T loops). Further hydrogen bonds mediate the characteristic L-shaped molecular structure. tRNAs have two regions of fundamental functional importance: the anti-codon, which is responsible for specific mRNA codon recognition, and the 3' end, to which the tRNAs corresponding amino acid is attached (by aminoacyl-tRNA synthetases). tRNAs cope with the degeneracy of the genetic code in two manners: having more than one tRNA (with a specific anti-codon) for a particular amino acid; and 'wobble' base-pairing, i.e. permitting non-standard base-pairing at the 3rd anti-codon position. The record is from RNAcentral. Lineage: Eukaryota; Ciliophora; Spirotrichea; Euplotida; Euplotidae.
UUGUAUCUCAAUCGGUGGAGUGCUGGUCUUAUGAACCGGAGGUUGCGGGUUCGAGCCCCGCCUA